CCUACGGGUGGCUGCAGUGGGGAAUAUUGCACAAUGGGGGAAACCCUGAUGCAGCGACGCCGCGUGGGUGAAGAAGUAUUUCGGUAUGUAAAGCCCUAUCAGCAGGGAAGAAAAUGACGGUACCUGACCAAGAAGCCCCGGCUAACUACGUGCCAGCAGCCGCGGUAAUACGUAGGGGGCAAGCGUUAUCCGGAUUUACUGGGUGUAAAGGGAGCGUAGACGGUUUUGGAAGUCUGGAGUGAAAGGCCGGGGCCCAACCCCGGGACUGCUUUGGAAACUGGGUUACUGGAGUGCAGGAGGGGCAGGCGGAAUUCCUGGUGUAGCGGUGAAAUGCGUAGAUAUUAGGAGGAACACCGGUGGCGAAGGCGGCCUGCUGGACGGAAACUGACGUUGAGGCUCGAAAGCGUGGGGAGCAAACAGGAUUAGAUACCCCGGUAGUC
RNAcentral lists this ribosomal RNA (440 nucleotides) under uncultured bacterium. RNAcentral's name for it is "partial 16S ribosomal RNA". It matches the Rfam family "Bacterial small subunit ribosomal RNA", at positions 338 to 795 of the family's 1533-position model. The record is from RNAcentral.